Molecule: ribosomal RNA, 444 nt
Filed under: uncultured bacterium
Lineage: Bacteria
Description: bacterial SSU rRNA
Rfam family: Bacterial small subunit ribosomal RNA
Source: RNAcentral
GGUAUGUAAACUUCUAUCAGCAGGGAAGAAAAUGACGGUACCUGACUAAGAAGCCCCGGCUAACUACGUGCCAGCAGCCGCAGUAAUACGUAGGGGGCAAGCGUUAUCCGGAUUUACUGGGUGUAAAGGGAGCGUAGACGGUUAUGUAAGUCUGAUGUGAAAACCCGGGGCUCAACCCCGGGACUGCAUUGGAAACUAUGUAACUAGAGUGUCGGAGAGGUAAGUGGAAUUCCUAGUGUAGCGGUGAAAUGCGUAGAUAUUAGGAGGAACACCAGUGGCGAAGGCGGCUUACUGGACGAUGACUGACGUUGAGGCUCGAAAGCGUGGGGAGCAAACAGGAUUAGAUACCCUGGUAGUCCACGCCGUAAACGAUGCAUACUAGGUGUCGGUGGCAAAGCCAUUCGGUGCCGCAGCAAACGCAAUAAGUAUGCCACCUGGGGAGUA